AUACGGAGGCUCCGAGCGUUAUCCGGAUUUAUUGGGUUUAAAGGGUGCGCAGGCGGCCAUUUAAGUCAGCGGUUAAAUCGUGGGGCUCAACCCCAUUCUGCCGUUGAUACUGGGUGGCUUGAUUGCGGUCGAGGUUGGCGGAAUUCGUUGUGUAGCGGUGAAAUGCAUAGAUAUGACGAAGAACACCGAUUGCGUAGGCAGCUGACCAGACCGCAAAUGACGCUCAUGCACGAAAGUGCGGGGAUCGAACAGGAUUAGAUACCCUGGUAGUCCGCACAGUAAACGAUGAAUACUUGUUUUCGGCGAUAUAAUGUCGGAGGCAAAGCGAAAGCGAUAAGUAUUCCACCUGGGGAGUACGCCGGCAACGGUGAAACUCAAAUGAAUUGGCGGGG
Molecule: ribosomal RNA, 392 nt
Filed under: uncultured bacterium
Lineage: Bacteria
Description: partial 16S ribosomal RNA
Rfam family: Bacterial small subunit ribosomal RNA
Source: RNAcentral